CUACGUGCCAGCAGCCGCGGUAAUACGUAGGGGGCAAGCGUUAUCCGGAUUUACUGGGUGUAAAGGGAGCGUAGACGGAGCUGCAAGUCUGAUGUGAAAGCCCGGGGCUCAACCGCGGGACUGCUUUGGAAACUGUUUUGCUAGAGUGCUGGAGAGGUAAGUGGAAUUCCUAGUGUAGCGGUGAAAUGCGUAGAUAUUAGGAGGAACACCAGUGGCGAAGGCGGCUUACUGGACAGUAACUGACGUUGAGGCUCGAAAGCGUGGGGAGCA
This 270-nucleotide ribosomal RNA is filed under the name uncultured bacterium. RNAcentral's name for it is "partial 16S ribosomal RNA". It matches the Rfam family "Bacterial small subunit ribosomal RNA", at positions 501 to 770 of the family's 1533-position model. The record is from RNAcentral.